Molecule: non-coding RNA, 640 nt
Filed under: Pan troglodytes (chimpanzee)
Lineage: Eukaryota; Metazoa; Chordata; Mammalia; Primates; Hominidae
Source: RNAcentral
UGGAAUAUAAGGAGAUUUGACCUGUGCCGCUGUGAUUAACAGACAUCAGAGGCAUGGUACCAUGAGGACAGAGACCUCAACUGUGUGUUCAUCAUUAAGUCUCCAGCAUUCAGCAAAAUAUAUGGCACAUAGAAGGAAGAAAAACAACAGUAACUAGAUGAAGCAAGGACCACCCUUCUGGACAACAAAGGGAGAGGAAUGAAAGUCUGACCUAGGAAAACACGGAGUCUCGCUGUGUUGUCCAGGAUGGAGUGCAGUGGUGCUUUCUCAGCUCACUGCAACCUCUGCCUCCCAGUUCAAGCAAUUCUUCUGACUCAGCCUCCUGAGUAGCUGGGAUUACAGGCACCUGCUACCACACCAUGCUAAUUUUUGUAUUUUUAGUAGAGACGGGGUUUCUCCAUGUUGGCCUGGCUGGUCUCGAACUCUGACCUCAGGUGAUCCACCUGCCUCGGCCUCUCAAAAUGCUAGGAUUACAGGUGUGAGCCACCACACCUGGCCAACUUAUCCUUUUUUUAACAUCUAGUUUUCUGUGAGUGUUUUCUAAUGUGCACUGUAGACGGACACAGUGGUAUGUGAUUACUAUUCAUAGAUAAAUAAUAAUUUGUUUAUUAUUGUGUAAUAAACAUUGUGUGAUAAAGAA